GAUUGUAAGGGCAAUCUGGCUGUGACAUCUGUCACCCUACUGUUUGCCAGGGUUGAUUCGGCUGAUUUGUCUGGCUGUACGGGUGAUCUCCUCCCUCGCCACUCCAUGUGCGUCCCUCCCGAAGCUGUGCGCGUGGUCAAAGAGGACGACCUUCCCCCAGUAGAUGAGGAGCGGUCUUCCGUCAAGGGUACAGUAGUAGCUGGACUCCCCUGCUAGAACCUCCAAACAAGCUCUCAAGAGGUGGCCCAGCAUGGGGUUUUGGAGCCUGACAGGAUGAGAAAGGGAAAAAGGAUGUCUUCA
RNAcentral lists this small nuclear RNA (300 nucleotides) under Jaculus jaculus (lesser Egyptian jerboa). Its description in RNAcentral is "7SK RNA (ENSJJAG00000003709.1)". It matches the Rfam family "7SK RNA", at positions 1 to 290 of the family's 331-position model. Rfam says of the family: 7SK was discovered as an abundant small nuclear RNA in the mid-70s but a possible function has only recently been suggested. Two independent studies have found that 7SK RNA binds the CDK9/cyclin T complex (known as elongation factor P-TEFb). P-TEFb activates transcription by phosphorylating the C-terminal domain of RNA polymerase II. Lineage: Eukaryota; Metazoa; Chordata; Mammalia; Rodentia; Dipodidae. The record is from Rfam by way of RNAcentral.